UGGGGAAUAUUGCACAAUGGGCGCAAGCCUGAUGCAGCCAUGCCGCGUGUGUGAAGAAGGCCUUCGGGUUGUAAAGCACUUUCAGCGAGGAGGAAGGUGGUGAGCUUAAUACGCUCAUCAAUUGACGUUACUCGCAGAAGAAGCACCGGCUAACUCCGUGCCAGCAGCCGCGGUAAUACGGAGGGUGCAAGCGUUAAUCGGAAUUACUGGGCGUAAAGCGCACGCAGGCGGUUUGUUAAGUCAGAUGUGAAAUCCCCGGGCUCAACCUGGGAACUGCAUUUGAAACUGGCAAGCUAGAGUCUCGUAGAGGGGGGUAGAAUUCCAGGUGUAGCGGUGAAAUGCGUAGAGAUCUGGAGGAAUACCGGUGGCGAAGGCGGCCCCCUGGACGAAGACUGACGCUCAGGUGCGAAAGCGUGGGGCAGCAAACAGGAUUAGAUACCCUGGUAGUCCAGCGCUGUAAACGAUGUCGAUUUGGAGGUUGUGCCCUUGAGGCGUGGCUUCCGGAGCUAACGCGUUAAA
Molecule: ribosomal RNA, 519 nt
Filed under: uncultured bacterium
Lineage: Bacteria
Description: partial 16S ribosomal RNA
Rfam family: Bacterial small subunit ribosomal RNA
Source: RNAcentral